UAUUGUUUCUUUUGAUGUUAUAUAUGUUGUAUGAAGAGCGGUGCAGGUGACGCUUCUUCCCUGCACUCUCUGAAUGGUCAGCACGUCACUUCAGAUGAGACAGACCCCUAUGAGAUGGAGGUACGUGUCCAGUGAAAACCUUUCCUCUUCCCCUUUUUAUGUUUCAUAGCUAUCAUUUUGGUACAACAGGUGAUUUUACGCGCCAGGGAGGCAGAGAUGCAGUUCCUCCGACAAGAAGCCAUGUCUCUCAAGGAGGAACUCAAACUGGCUCGAAUGGAUACGAUUUAUGCCCAGAAUAAGCUCAAGUCUUUGUGCAUGGGAACCCCUCAUGAGAAGUUGUAUGAGGACUUUAAUAAAUGUGCCACUUGGUCUCCGGGAAAACGGGAGCACGGUCAAGUACUGUCAGAGGACGCUGUGGCAAACAAAGACGAUGUCACAGUUGAAAAUAAAACUAGCAAAUUGUCAAUCUCCCGUCGGCUUAGAGCAGUGAGG
This 492-nucleotide long non-coding RNA is filed under the name Neogobius melanostomus (round goby). RNAcentral's name for it is "lncRNA (ENSNMLG00000022455.1)". Lineage: Eukaryota; Metazoa; Chordata; Actinopteri; Gobiiformes; Gobiidae. The record is from RNAcentral.